This 497-nucleotide ribosomal RNA is filed under the name uncultured bacterium. Its description in RNAcentral is "partial 16S ribosomal RNA". It matches the Rfam family "Bacterial small subunit ribosomal RNA", at positions 28 to 507 of the family's 1533-position model. The record is from RNAcentral.
GAUGAACGCUGGCGGCGUGCCUAAUACAUGCAAGUCGAGCGAACAGACGAGGAGCUUGCUCCUUUGACGUUAGCGGCGGACGGGUGAGUAACACGUGGGUAACCUACCUAUAAGACUGGGAUAACUUCGGGAAACCGGAGCUAAUACCGGAUAAUAUUUCGAACCGCAUGGUUCGAUAGUGAAAGAUGGCUCUGCUAUCACUUAUAGAUGGACCUGCGCCGUAUUAGCUAGUUGGUAAGGUAACGGCUUACCAAGGCAACGAUACGUAGCCGACCUGAGAGGCUGAUCGGCCACACUGGAACUGAGACACGGUCCAGACUCCUACGGGAGGCAGCAGUAGGGAAUCUUCCGCAAUGGGCGAAAGCCUGACGGAGCAACGCCGCGUGAGUGAUGAAGGUCUUCGGAUCGUAAAACUCUGUUAUUAGGGAAGAACAAACGUGUAAGUAACUGUGCACGUCUUGACGGUACCUAAUCAGAAAGCCACGGCUAACUACGUG